This 471-nucleotide long non-coding RNA is filed under the name Musa acuminata (dwarf banana). Its description in RNAcentral is "long non-coding RNA (MACU_LNC001812)". Lineage: Eukaryota; Viridiplantae; Streptophyta; Magnoliopsida; Zingiberales; Musaceae. The record is from RNAcentral.
AAUUAUUGUGUUGACCAAUUAUAGCCGGUACAACAAAAACUGGAUAAUUGAAAAACAUAUGGAAAAUCAAGCUAAAAAAGUUAGCCCUAGUACAGAAGUCUGCAACCAACACAGGAUCUAGGAAGGGAUAAUGCACAUAGCAUUACCCUUGCAAGCAAAUAGAUUAUUUUUGUGAUUUGAAACUUAAUCACCUAAAUUGCAAAGGAAGCAGCUUUAUCAUGACACCAAGGCUCACACCUAUGGAAAAUCAAGUUCUACAAAACAAUUUUGCAUGCUUGUGACUAGUACAAGAGUAACUCAAAAGCAUCAUGAUCUACUAAGAUCUGCAAGAGGUUAUGAGAUUCAAUCAUCCUCCUUAUAGUUGUAUGCCAUCCAUGCUUGCAUUAUGGUCAUACCUUUCCUAAGAUAGGUGCCAUCCCCAUGAUCACCGAAGCUAAAGCUGAGCGAACAUGCUGUGAAGAAUCUGAUGAC